GAUGAACGCUGGCGGCGUGCCUAAUACAUGCAAGUCGAGCGAACGUACGAGAAGCUUGCUUUUCUGAUGUUAGCGGCGGACGGGUGAGUAACACGUGGAUAACCUACCUAUAAGACUGGGAUAACUUCGGGAAACCGGAGCUAAUACCGGAUAAUAUUUUGAACCGCAUGGUUCAAAAGUGAAAGACGGUCUUGCUGUCACUUAUAGAUGGAUCCGCGCUGCAUUAGCUAGUUGGUAAGGUAACGGCUUACCAAGGCAACGAUGCAUAGCCGACCUGAGAGGGUGAUCGGCCACACUGGAACUGAGACACGGUCCAUACUCCUACGGGAGGCAGCAGUAGGGAAUCUUCCGCAAAGGGCGAAAGCCUGACGGAGCAACGCCGCGUGAGUGAUGAAGGUCUUCGGAUCGUAAAACUCUGUUAUUAGGGAAGAACAUAUGUGUAAGUAACUGUGCACAUCUUGACGGUACCUAAUCAGAAAGCCACGGCUAACUACGUG
RNAcentral lists this ribosomal RNA (497 nucleotides) under uncultured bacterium. RNAcentral describes it as "partial 16S ribosomal RNA". It matches the Rfam family "Bacterial small subunit ribosomal RNA", at positions 28 to 507 of the family's 1533-position model. The record is from RNAcentral.